GCGUUGGUGGUGUAGUGGUUAGCAUGCAUGCCUUCCAAGCACGCGUCCCGGGUUCGAUUCCCGGUCAACGCA
Non-coding RNA from Geosiphon pyriformis, 72 nucleotides. Lineage: Eukaryota; Fungi; Glomeromycota; Glomeromycetes; Archaeosporales; Geosiphonaceae. The record is from the annotation of a GenBank genome assembly.